RNAcentral lists this microRNA precursor (56 nucleotides) under Sarcophilus harrisii (Tasmanian devil). RNAcentral describes it as "Sha-Mir-193-P1b_pre stem-loop". It matches the Rfam family "mir-193 microRNA precursor family", at positions 10 to 68 of the family's 76-position model. Lineage: Eukaryota; Metazoa; Chordata; Mammalia; Dasyuromorphia; Dasyuridae. The record is from RNAcentral.
UGGGUCUUUGCGGGCGAGAUGAGGAUGUCAAUUCAACUGGCCUACAAAGUCCCAGU